CAUCUCUGGUGUUCUCGGAGAGUAGCUCUGGUGGGCUCUGGAAAACAUCUCUGGUGGUCUCUGGAGAGCAGCUCUAGUGUUGUCUGGAGAGCAGCCCUGGUGGGCCCUGGAAAACAGCUCUGGUGGGCUCUGGGACACCCAGCACUGAGGGUGGCCAUGAGCAUCUUUUCCUUGGGACCUUGGGUCAGGCUGCAGUGCUGGGAUGGGCACAGGAAAUCUCUGCCUGCCUUUUCCUUUACCAGCAGAAAGGAAUGUUCAGAAUAAAUCCCACUGACCUGGGGUGCACUGGAGCUCCGGAGCGGUGGCCUUGGCGUGUUUGUGUUGGUGAGAAGAAAAUGUGUUUUGGCAGGGCCUGGGGCUGCAGCCAAUGCCCUUUUCCGUUCCCCUGGGCAUGUUUUGUCUGUGGGAUGACACCUGAGCACUGAGUGAUGACCUGCAGAGCUGUUCCUACAGAGCACACAGAGCUGGUUUUCCAGGAGAGCUGCGUGUGCUCGUGAGUGGAUGUGGGAUCAAACACCAGAUUGUGCAACCACUUGUGUUGACAUAACAGGUCUUGCUCUGCUGCUCACUGGAAGCAAAGCGGAGCAGACGUUUCCUGGAGCUGUAAAUUCACCCCUCACUGACUGCUGGCACCCGGGAUGGACAGGUUUGUGUGGGGAUGUGACUCACCCAGGAGGUUACACAGGGCCCUUCUCACACAGGGUGGGAGGCCGGGGCUCUGAGGGUUCCCAGGAAUUCCCCAUGGCAACACAAACACAGCGCUGCUGUGCACGCGAGGAACAGGCACUGGGGCGCAGCCAGGACACGGCAACUCCUUAACCUUUAGACAAACCAAACUCCACAGGAACAGGAAUUCUUUGGUGGCUGUGUAACCCAUGAGUGCCAGGCCUCACAAACCUGAAAUCAGAGAACAAAGAGCUUGUUAUUGGUGCACUGAUUUAAAAGGAUUUAGCAGGAGAGAUCUGGACUGGGCCAAUGGCAUGGCUGAUACACAGAGUACAAAACAGAAUUCUGUACAUGGAUACAAGACAUUAAUGACUGAAUAGUUGAGCAGCUGUAUGUUUUUGGGAUUCUCUAGUGUUCCUGUAAAGGGUGCAUAAAACUGAAGCUGAGGCCAGGAGAAGGAGUCAAGUGUUGGUCUGCAAUAAAUGGAUAGCAAAGAUAUGGAGAAAGAACAAAUCGCUGAUUUUGUGUGUGCACAGCACACAGCUGCAGCAACCUGAGCUCGGUGCUUGGAGCAUGAGGAGCCCUGAAGGCUGGAAAUGGAGGCUGGAAAGGGCUGAUCCUCAUUUUGUACAGUUUUUAUAACCGUCCUGAUGUGUGUUUUCCACCUGCCCUCCUCACCCUGGUGCUGCCUCGCCGUGCUGGACAGUGCCCCAGCACACGCCAGUCCCACGGGCAGCAUCUCCUGGUUUCUGGGCGCCACCUCUUGGUGCUGGGACAGCUCCUCCGUUUGUGCUGGAUAUGGCACUGAGGGACUUGUGCUCAGAUUUCUGUUCUCCAGCGAGGAAAGCCAUGGAUGUGAAGGGCAGCAGCUCAUCUGAAACGUCCCUGCAGCAGCAGCUGCAAGUUUAGUACCACCACCCGGGGAAAUGAGAAAUACCUGCAUCUCUGAAACCCAUUCCAGACCUGCCCUUGUGAACGACACAGCUGUGAGCUGAAACGGAUUGAUAAACAGAUUAAUUUCAUGUUUUGGGUCAGAUGAGGUUUGUCCGGUUGGGUUUUGUUGCUGUUUUACUCCUUAUAUUGUUUUUGUGGGUUUUUUUAGCCCCCAUUAGUAGCCCAUACCAGAUCUUCCAGAGAAACCCACUAUAUCCCAUAGGGAGACUGUGGUAUGAAGUGGAAACAUCACAGGAUGAGGUUCAGCAUCCUGUUCAUUAACUCACAGGUGCAUUUCCCCGCUGCCUUUCCAUCCAUCCAUCC
Long non-coding RNA from Vidua macroura (Pin-tailed whydah), 1923 nucleotides. RefSeq lists it as uncharacterized. Lineage: Eukaryota; Metazoa; Chordata; Aves; Passeriformes; Viduidae. The record is from RefSeq and is a predicted model, not a curated record. The transcript is spliced from 4 exons.